This 253-nucleotide ribosomal RNA is filed under the name uncultured bacterium. Its description in RNAcentral is "partial 16S ribosomal RNA". It matches the Rfam family "Bacterial small subunit ribosomal RNA", at positions 524 to 776 of the family's 1533-position model. The record is from RNAcentral.
GACGAACCGAGCGAACGUUGUUCGGAAUCACUGGGCUUAAAGGGCGCGUAGGCGGGCUGUCAAGUCCGGGGUGAAAUCUUUCGGCUUAACCGGAAAAGUGCCUUGGAUACUGAUGGUCUCGAGGGAGGUAGGGGCAGCUGGAACUUCCGGUGGAGCGGUGAAAUGCGUUGAUAUCGGAAGGAACUCCGGUGGCGAAAGCGAGCUGCUGGACCUCUUCUGACGCUGAGGCGCGAAAGCUAGGGGAGCAAACGGG